Non-coding RNA from Coturnix japonica (Japanese quail), 7275 nucleotides. The record is from RefSeq and is a predicted model, not a curated record. Lineage: Eukaryota; Metazoa; Chordata; Aves; Galliformes; Phasianidae.
UACGUCACUUCCGCUCUACCUGAUGAUACCGUAGUGCCGUGCGGAAGCAGCGGGUAGUGGACUUCCGGCCGGCUGCCCGCCAUGUUGCCUCAGGAGCGGCGGGAUCCGCGCCCGCUUUACCGCCUGGUGCUGGCCGCUUUGGUGUUGCUUUCCUGGGGCUACGUGCUGUACGGGGCGCGGGAGGCGGCGCGACGGCAGCUGCAGAGCGAACUAUCGGUGCCUCGGCUGCCAUAGCACGGCGGGAUGGGCGGACACCGAGGGAGCUUCGGAGAAUGGGAGGAGCUGCUUGGCCAACACCGCGAAUAAAGGUUCAGCUGCUGUAAGAAACAAGGACACGGAAGCUUUAAUCCGCUCAUUGAUUGUUUGUUACAUCGUGUUCGAGGCUGCAGUCUGCUACAGCGUCUGUGUGUAGCCCCAGCUCUCACCCUGUCCUCAUAGGAGAGGUGUUCCACUCCUUGGGUCGUUUCUGUGUCCCUCCUCUAGUUGCACUCCCAACAGAUCCACGUCUCUCCUCCGCAUCUGGAUGCAGUACUCCAGGUGAGGUCUCACCAGUGCAGAAUAAAGGAGCAGAAUCACCUUCCUCGACUUGCUGGCUGUGCUGAUUUUGAUGCAGCCCAGGGUACAGAUGGCUUUCUGGGUUGCAGGAGCACACUGCUGGCUCAUAUCCAGCUUGCCAUGUACCAGUACCUGCAAGUCCUUUUUGUCAGAGCUCGUGUUCAUUGGUUUCAUACUCACUACCCUCGAGUCAUCCCAAAGGCAGGUGUGCUUCUGCUGUCAUCCUUCAGAUACUCCAUUCCUCCCCUCACACCCACACAGGCCUCUCUACCCAUCUGUUUCCUUGGUCAUUUGCAGGGUAGAGUUAUCAACAGCCAGCCAAGCUGAAAGUUUGCUAUCAAAUUACAUUCCUCUGCAGAUAUAUUUCCUCAUGGGGUUUGACAGUAAUGCUGAAGCACUUUGGCUUGCCAAUACCAGAUAUAUGCUGUGAUCAGCAGUCCUGGUGCUGGCAGUUGCUUUUGCUUUACUCAUACUGGUUGUGCCAGUUACUGCACCUGAGACACACACACUGAUCCUGUCCUAGGUGCUAAGGCUGAAAUCAUUUACCACAUCCAUUACUGCCACCAGGACACUUUAUCUCCUUCUCUUGACAGCACAACAGGAGUGACACCGAUGCAGAUGGUUCCCAUCUGGUCUACUUCCUAAAUGCAAUGUGUAUGUCAUUUCUUAGUUACAGGUUCAGCUGUGCUGUGGCAAUGCAGACAGAGGCUGACUAGCCGAGCAUCCACUACCCAGAGCUGUUUCACCAGUGAGCAGCCACCAGAUGGAGAAGCACUCCACAUCAAGGCUUCUGAGUCCCGGCAGUUCCCUUACCUGCGGUGAAACCCCCUCUUCAAGAGGACAGACCUCUCAGAAACCUGUGAUUUAGAUUCAGCUCAGUUUGCCACAUUGGAGGAAAUCUUCACUUUGAAUCUUCUGCCCAGAAGUUAUGCACUGUCAUGAGGCCAAGCCAUAAGGGUCAUUGUCCAGGAUUAGGCUCUUGAUUUGUGACCAUACAGGACUGCUCUGAAGGCAUUUUCUGAACUUGUCAAGAUGGCAGAACAUAUGCAGUGAGCUCCUUGAGCUUCCUCCUCUGUGACAUGCAUUGCAUGGAAGAACAUGAGGACAGCAUGCAUGCUGAGGUGCAGCAGAAGGUAUUCUCUUCCACUCAGAUGAGGAUUAUUUUGAAAUGGUAAGAGCAGCUGAGAGCAGAAUAUUGCCAGCAGAAAAGGGACAGUGUUUACUUCAUCCUCUGGUGUGACUUUAGUCUUAAGAUCUUUGGCUGUUAGUAAUUAGCAAACAAUAUGACAAUAUGUUUUCACUUAACAUUCUGAUUUUUUUUGGUUGAGAUUUCUUUUUCCUAGUCCUCUUUUCCAAAUUGACUCCAUACUUAUGCUGAUACAAGUAGCAAAAUAACCAAAAAUUACUAAAAUAUUUAAGAAAUGGUGAACUGCAGUUAAGACUAAAUAUAUACUAUUUUUUAUCAUAAAGCACGAGCUCAAUGCCAGCAGAGCAUAACUCAAUAACUCAAACACAGGCCAAGAAAAAAAAAAAAAAGAAGAAGAAAAAAAAGCCCAUACUAUUUAAAUACUAGGCUAUCUAGGCAGUUUGAUAACCAUACUUAUCUUUUUGCAACAGCUGCAGUGGUCCAGCUGUACCUCCAUAUUUCUGGAGUCUCUCAGGCACAUGAUAACAGAGUCUUCUGUACUAUCAUUUUCCAGCUGUAACUGUGACUGGACAACACAUUUUGUAACAGGCAGAGCAUGCCUAAUGCUAGGAGGUGAAAUCUGUAGUGCAAGAAAAGAGGGAAGAAUGGGAAGAGAGGCCUCCUUUAGCAGAUUAAAGCCCAGACCUAUACAAAUGGCCUAUAUGCCCUUAAAUGGGGCAAAUAAUUCCAUCACUGUUAAUGAGGUCAAACCAACAAGCUCCACCUUAGUAAAUGCUGAGCUCUUUUCCAGACAGCAGAGCUGCUUGGGUACGUCAUGGACACAGAAAUACACUGAGCAAUAUGAACAUUUCAGCCCUGGUUUCCAUUUUUGUGCUAUUGGUGACAGCUGUCAGGAGUGACGUGCCAAAUGAAAAGGUAGUCCAUUCAACUCAUAUGCUUUGCUGUGGGACACAGAGGGCUGUAAUCCUGCAGAUUUCAUUCACUGUGACUUACAGCGUUCCACCUCAGUAAAGAACCAAGAGAUGUGGUGUCCAGUAAUGCAGGUGUCAGCUCUGCCCAAAACAAACCAAACCAGAGAGGAGUCCUCUUUCUCUCCUCAGCACAAGGGGCUGUGCCACUCACACUGAUGGAUCUGCCUCUUUCAUCACAGAGAUUCUUCCUUUCUGAAUAGCACAUUAAUUCUGCCUUCCAGUGGAGGAAAAAAUGAAAAGACAGCUGCACAGGAAAUUUGGGGCUUCAAUAAAAAGAGAGGUUUCACAACAAACAUUAGCGUAUUGUUGAGAAUUCAGGAAAAAAAAGUUACUUUUCCAGCUAAGAAGAGCAAAUUAAUAUGUAUUAGCACAAAGUCUAUGUACAAAUAUAUAACUUCAUAUGCUUCAUGAAGCAGUUCUAUCUUAGAUAACUGACUCUUCUUUUGUACAGACAGUAAAAAAAGUCAGAAAACUUACAUUUCUUAGCAUGGAUCUCAUCAGACUUGGGUGAAGACUCCUGAUUGUAUUGUCUGCACAAGAUCCACCCACAGUUAAUCUACGAAUAACAGGAACACAAGGCAGAGAGAUGCCACUGAGAUGGGACAACUGCACAGACAGAAAUAAAUAGUGGACACCUUCUCAGCACCUCAUGCAUUUGCUGCUCAUCUUUCCAGGACUUACAAGAUGUGUGACCUAAUUUAACUAAAACAACCCUAAACAAUGGCAUUUAUUAAACAGAAUGUGUGAAGAGGAUGUGAGUGACACAGAAGUUCAACUAUACAUGGCAUGAGAGUACAAAAGCUUUUUUUGUUUGUGUCUAACAAUUUCCUUAGAAGUCAAUAAUGAGAACUUGGAGGAGUUCACAUCCUCCUUUCAUCUGAUUGGGGAGAGUGAAGUUCAUUUCUAGGAAAAACUUACACAAAACCUCUGAUAACCUCUCAUUAUCAGAAAAGCAUUAGAGGAUUAAAAAAGAAAGGUAUCUCUAUACCUGUGGAGGUUUAUGUGGAUAUAUAUAGUGCCUCCACUCUGUAUGCCACUUUGUACAUGAAAAGUAUAUGAUAUGUACUGCCGACUUUUCUACAUUUCUUGCCUUAUGCCACCUUGCAAUUCUUCCACUAUUUUUUUUUCCCCUGGUAAUCUGGGAAAUUGAUGUAUCACUUUCCUUAAUGUCAGCAUCAAAAACCUUAAUUUGUUCUUUCCAUGGAUGUAAAACUACUUGCUGAGGUACCUUUAGCUUUUGAGAAUAACACUCUGCACAUGGGGUAAAAUCAGCAGCUUCAAGCUCCACUUCUUGACUUGUUCAAGACUUCCAUCUUCUUUACUUGUUUCACCUGAAGAGUUACACAGCAGUCAAUGCACUUCAUACCCUCCUACUGAGCUUGAAAAAAGGCAACCAGCAAAAAAUCCAUCUAAAUACUGCAAAAUAAUGAGGUGCGUUUCAUUGUUGAAAUACAAACUCAUGAAUUACCUUGUAAUGAGAACAGUAACAAAUAAUCAAGGGAGCGUUUUUGUUUUAUCACUAGUCAAGUCCAGCAUAUUCCAACAUGUUUAAGUACCUACACAGGCAUAUUUUAUAAAACAACCAAAGCUGAAACACACAUAAAAGAAAAGCAGCAUUUGGCAUUGUCUAGUCCCUGCAAACUGAACUGGUCAUGGCUUACAUUAAAUCAUUCAGGGAUCUGAAGCACAGGAUGCUUUGCAUCACGUAUGCUCAGGCAAAGCACUGAUGUUUGUGGCACUCAUUAAAGAAGUGUAGAGAAGAUUUGCUCCCCAAGAAAUUCUUAAUGAAUAGUUUACCCCAAAUUGCUCUCCAGCUAUGGAGUGAGAUGCUGCAGAGACCAGCUCUGAAUGCUGGGCACUAGAGCAGGCUCAGUGCAAAGAAGACUUCACCAUCUGCCUCUCCUCAGAGUUUUCAGUAAGCAGCCUAGUCUAGGCUCACAUGUGCUUCCCACAUCCUAGAAAUCCAGGCUUUCCUGGGGAGACAAGACUAAGGUGUUUCAAAGAACAAAGCUAGCACCAGUUCAACACAGAAGAACUACCCAUUUCAGAGGUAUUAUUAUAUCCCUUGGGUCUGGCUGAUACCCAAGACAACCAGGUUCAAAGUCUUGCCAGAGAUGUGAAUACAGACAUAGGACUCUAGAGAUGGCGUAGCAAGAGGGCAUUUAGCCAAGGAGUUCUGUGAACUGACCAGCUCUUUCAGUUCCACCUGGCAUCUCUAGCAUCAUUAGAAAGAGUUUCAUCCAUUUCAAGAGAGUUUGGAUUACUUUCCGGUGUGGGACCUUUUUAGUCUCAUGCAGGAAAAGCAUCUGCCUAGCAUGAAUUAGUCAAUUAGUAUAGUUUUGCAGUGGCUUGCAUGCUGAAAGGUGAAAGACUCCCUGAGGCUGGUUAUAAAUUCACAGUGUUGUUAUUGCCUUUAGUUGUUGCAGUGAUGAAUUAGCAAGCCAUAUGAGAUCAUGGAUGAAACCGAUCUACCACUGCACUCAACUAUCAAAGAACCUGCAAUGCUGACAGGAAGGAAAAUAUUUACUCAUUUCACAGGUGGUAAUCUCAGACAGAUCAAGGAUUAGCUCUGCAGGAGUCAUCUAAAGAAGCAGAAAUCACGUGGUGUGCUCUCCAUGCUUUCCAAUGUCUUGGCAUGCUUUCACAUGGAAAUUCAUUUCAGAAGAAUCCAGUGAAGUCCAGCAGAAGGCAUCUGGCCUUAACAGGAUCACAACAAUCUGCCACAGCUCACUGCAUGUUGUAAAGCUACAGACAAUACGUACCACCAGGUUGAUAGGGACUCCUUUUAGAUGUUUCAAGAGGAAGUAAUAAUUUCAUUACUUCACCUCUCUCUGGGCCCCAAAUGCAUUAUGUGUGCCAAAUAAACAUCCGCUCUUGCUCUGAUAGUGGGGCUGGUUCUCUGAUUCUCUCUGUGUGCACAGCACAGAGCCCAUACCAAAGACCGAAAUGCUGACCCAGUGUUCUUACUGUAAUAACAGAGGCAUAGCUUUGUGGCCUCACUUCCACUCCAGUCAAGUGACCACAUUUUUCUUGAGACUGAAGCAAUGCUCCCUGGAGGCUCUACGAGCAACAGCUCCUUCUCCAACAGGAGAUAAAAUGAAAGACGAAGAUCUACAAGCCAGCAGAGAGCAAGACUUUUUAAGGCUGUACGACCUGGGGUACAAGAAAGAAUCACGCACAGCUUGUGCUACUAAUUAACACCACCACCUCCAGGGGGAACAGUCAGGAUAAAUAUCAACUCCUUUUUUAUUCCCUUUUGCCAGAGCCUGCUGGUGCCACAGCAAAACUGUAAGUUGGACAAAAUGGUACAUCCCAGCCUUCAACCUUUUUACCCCUCACACUGCCUUCCCUACAGUAGCUACAGAUCCACUCCCAGAUCCUUCUGUAUCCCCCAGGCACAAGGCAUGCCAUGUUUUGAUCCUCUUAUGUGAGGACAGAUCUAGCAGAAGAAGGAAAUAUCAGGACUGCUUAUCUGGGGUGAGUUCCAUUUGCCACUCACCACUCACAGGGGACAGCUGGCAUGCGAACUGUGUAUCUCUAAAUAAAACUUGUGAGGACAUAGCAGUGAGGAGAUGGGCAAAUUCCACGUGAGGUGGGUUUUUCUGCUCAGCUUUUUCUUCACCCAGAGCAGAUCCACACUGUGGCAAACUCUUGAGUUUGUUUGCCUCUGAAACCCCCUAAUACCUCUAUGCAUUAAAGAAGGAACGAGCAGGUUGGUAUUUUUGCAGCAGACAGAACUGAAUCUCUGCCUGAGAAAAGAUGCAUGUGAUUGAAAAGGCAUUUUCCCAGGGGAGUUCCUGUUUCCUGGAGCUCUGUCAUUGCUGAUUAUUUUUCCUGGAUUGCCCAUUCAAGCCUUUUCUUUCUAACUUUCUUAUCUCCUAGAGCGACCAGCUUUUUAGAAACUUCAAAUCAAGGAAUAAAAUCAGCAAUAUUCUGAUUACAGACAAGCUCUGAAGACAACAUAAGUGGACUUAUAAGAGCACAGUAUUAAGCCACAAAUCUGACAGUGCCCAGUUGCUGAAACACAUCGUGGAACAUAAGACACAUUCUGACCUAAGAAGGGAAGUGAUUUUACUCACAGAUAUAAGGACAUCUCCCUGUUAGAGAGCAUCAUUUAUUCAUCUCCCAUCCUUCUUCUUGGCACUCAGUGAAGGGUGCCCAUAAGGUCUCAAUGGUGAAAUUAGUUUUUUUUUAGUUUUCUUUGAUUUCUCAUAAGCCUCGAGCACUGGACAUGAACCACCAUCUCAUUUUGAUGUGAGCUGCAGGCAGCUGUCAGAUGGUAGCAUUGCACACCAGUAUGUGAACAUGAAUUGAGUCAGACUUGUAAAGCUCAACUUCCAUAACUGCUCCAUUAAGCUAGCUGAGAAAAAAAAAUAAUUAAGAGAAAAGGAAGAAAAACAAGGAAAAAGAAUCAAAUUUACAGCAUUUUAAAACUAGAAUUAACCUUCAAAUUUAGAGGUUAUUAUUCUCUGAGGAAAACUACACAUUCUGUCUCCUGGAGAUGAAAGGACACACAGAAUCUAAACCAGCGUCAUAAUCAAAAAGACAAGAUGUAUACGGCAUGCAGCCACUUUCAGAAAUAAAGGAUUUUUUGCAAAAUCA